Molecule: ribosomal RNA, 253 nt
Filed under: uncultured bacterium
Lineage: Bacteria
Description: partial 16S ribosomal RNA
Rfam family: Bacterial small subunit ribosomal RNA
Source: RNAcentral
UACGAGGGGGGCGAGCGUUGUUCGGAAUUAUUGGGCGUAAAGGGUGCGUAGGCGGUUCGGUAAGUUUCGUGUGAAAUCUUCGGGCUCAGCUCGAAGCCUGCACGAGAUACUGCCGGGCUUGAGUGUGGGAGAGGUGAGUGGAAUUUCCGGUGUAGCAGUGAAAUGCGUAGAUAUCGAGAGGAACACCGGUGGCGAAGGCGAGUCCCUGGAAAACACCUGACACUGAGGCACGAAAGCUAGGGGAGCAAACAGG